AGUCCACAUUUCUGUCCUUUGAGGGUUUAUGAAAAGACUGGUUUCUGUCCCAACAUACAGAGAAGACACAUCCUAAGAACAGGUAUAAAAAUAAAUACAAAUAAGUUGGAGACAUCAAACUGAAAAGCUUCUGCAGAGUAAAAGGAAAUGGAAGAAGCCUUACAGGACAAGAAAAAAACAUCUGCAAACCAUAUACUUGAUGGAGAGACUAAAGAAAGAAAAUGG
Long non-coding RNA from Carlito syrichta (Philippine tarsier), 225 nucleotides. RefSeq lists it as uncharacterized. Lineage: Eukaryota; Metazoa; Chordata; Mammalia; Primates; Tarsiidae. The transcript is spliced from 2 exons. The record is from RefSeq and is a predicted model, not a curated record.